AUCCUUUCCCUUCACAUCCAGAGAAGAGAAGAGGAUCCAUAAGGGGGCAUUCCCAGCUCCUUGAUGGUUUGCUGUGUGACUGUCCAAAAAUGUCUCUACAUCUCUGUUUUUCUGGCACCAUAAGCUGAAGUUGGUUCCUAAAGAUGGUUCCCAGGUCAUGGGAGGAAUAGGACAGGGAAUUCCAGAACCAAAUUUCUGUCUAAGAAAGAAACAAUUAUCUAAGAAAUUGUGAGUGGAAUUGGACUGAACGUGGAUGAGUCAGGGCUCUUGAAAAAGAAAGUGGCCGUCCCUCUUUGAGUCAGUUCUGCAAGAGUGGACAGAAACUUUUCCAGACUCCCAGGCCUCUCUGCUCCCUCAGAGCUUGAAAAGAUUAAAGUCAUUCCUCCUCAAGGUCUUCAGUGAAACCCUGGAAAUCUUUCCUUCAAUUUUAAGAGAUUACAGUUCUUCCCAUUGUCUAGCCUCUGUCACUACUUGCUGUAGCAUGAGGUGGCUUCCCUGGGGGAGACACCCUUCUUAUCUUUCUGACUACAAUUAGAGCCUCCUCUCCCUGUAGGGGAGUGAGAGGGACAAGGUCAAGGAUCCUCACAACUCAAUAACAGCUGUAGAGCCUCACCUAUCCUGUGUACUCACAGUGACUCCAUGCAGGGGACCAGCAACAAGGGGAAAGGGAGUGGGAGUUAGUGUGGGGACAGGGGAGAAGCAUGCAUCGGGAUUCCCUGCCUGGUCUAGUCUGGUCUGGGAGCAGGGCAGAUGCUCAACAAGGCAUCCCAGGUCUCGGGGAGCGGCUGGCAGUGGUGAAACACCAGCUCUCUCAGGGCACGUGAAAGUUCAUGUUUCCCCUCCCUCUCCUCUCUCCCUCCCACUCUUCAUGACUGGAUCCAGGGAAGGACACACCUGUCACAAGUACUGCCCUCAUCUCUCCCUGUAACUCCACCUCCACCCCCCAUACCCACUUUAUCCCUCUGCAGGGUUACUAGAGCCUGACCAAAAUUCUCUACUGACCAGAGACAGACAGACAGACCUGUUCCCUGUUCCCCAACUUCCAGUGGUGCUGCGCAUGGAGACGCUGAGGUGGGACCCAAAGACCUGCUCCCGUCUUCUCUCCUUAGGGACUUGCAGAAGCCCCUUUCUCAGAGUCACCCCUCCCAGGAUGAGGUGAAGAGGCUGAAAAGGGAAGGGCCAUAAUGCUAAGGCUGGGGCAGGGGACAGCGGCGCCCUCCAUGCACUCUCCUGAUUAGUGCAGGUAAACAUAAGGGUUUCCCCCAAAUGCGAGGGUUCUGCUUCAGUGCCAUGGAAGGCCCCACCAGCACCUGCUGCCCCUCCUGUUCGUCCUCCCUCUCUUCAGCCCCACAAUUACCGAGAGCGAGUUGUUGAGGCAAGCUCUACCCCAGGCCUGCGUUAAGAAAUUUGGGUGGGAUAGGCCGGGCGUGGUGGCUCACGCCUGUAAUCCCAGCACUUUGGGAGGCCGAGGAGGGUGGAUCACGAGGUCAGGAGAUCGAGACCAUCCUGGCUAACAUGGUGAAACCCCAUCUUUACCAAAAAUACAAAAAAUAAGCCGGGCGUUGUGGUGAGCGCCUGUAGUCCCAGCUACUCGGGAGGCUGAGGCAGGAGAAUGGAGUGAACCCUGGAGGUGGAGGUUGCAGUGAAUCGAGAUCGCACCACUGCACUCCAGCCUGGGC
RNAcentral lists this long non-coding RNA (1679 nucleotides) under Homo sapiens (human). RNAcentral describes it as "HSALNT0189501". The record is from RNAcentral. Lineage: Eukaryota; Metazoa; Chordata; Mammalia; Primates; Hominidae.